GGACCCGCACAAGCAGCGGAGCGUGUGGUUUAAUUCGAGGCUACGCGAAGAACCUUACCAGGGAUUGACAUGACCGUAGUAGUGAAGCGAAAGCGGAACGACCCUUCGGGGAGCGGUCACAGGUGAUGCAUGGCUGUCGUCAGCUCGUGCCGUGAGGUGUUUGGUUAAGUCCACUAACGAGCGCAACCCUUAGCGCCAGUUACACGUGUCUGGCGCGACUGCCGGUAUUAAGCCGGAGGAAGGUGGGGAUGACGUCAAGUCAGCAUGUCCUUUAUACCCUGGGCGACACACACGCUACAAUGGCCAGCACAAUGGGUCGCCAAGCCGUGAGGCGGAGCCAAUCCACCAAAGCUGGUCUCAGUUCGGAUUGCAGGCUGCAACCCGCCUGCAUGAAGUCGGAGUUGCUAGUAACCGCAGGACAGCUAUACUGCGGUGAAUACGUUCCCGGGUCUU
RNAcentral lists this ribosomal RNA (453 nucleotides) under uncultured bacterium. Its description in RNAcentral is "bacterial SSU rRNA". It matches the Rfam family "Bacterial small subunit ribosomal RNA", at positions 917 to 1382 of the family's 1533-position model. The record is from RNAcentral.